CCUACGGGAGGCAGCAGUGGGGAAUAUUGGGCAAUGGGCGCAAGGCUGACCCAGCAACGCCGCGUGAAGGAAGAAGGCUUUCGGGUUGUAAACUUCUUUUCUCAGGGACGAAGCAAGUGACGGUACCUGAGGAAUAAGCCACGGCUAACUACGUGCCAGCAGCCGAGGUAAUACGUAGGUGGCAAGCGUUCUACGGAUUUACUGGUUGUAAAGGGUGUGUAGGCGGGGACGCAAGUCAGAUGUGAAAAGCACGGGACCAACCUGUGGCCUGCAUUUGAAACUGUGUUUCUUGAGUACUGGAGAGGUAGACGGAAUGCGUGGUGUAGCGGUGAAAUGCGUAGAUAUUAGGAGGAACACCAGUGGCGAAGGCGGUCUGCUGGACAGCAACUGACGCUGAGGCGCGAAAGCGUGGGGAGCAAACAGGAUUAGAUACCCCUGUAGUC
RNAcentral lists this ribosomal RNA (443 nucleotides) under uncultured bacterium. RNAcentral describes it as "partial 16S ribosomal RNA". It matches the Rfam family "Bacterial small subunit ribosomal RNA", at positions 338 to 795 of the family's 1533-position model. The record is from RNAcentral.